UGGGGAAUCUUGGACAAUGGGCGCAAGCCUGAUCCAGCCAUGCCGCGUGGAUGAUGAAGGCCCUAGGGUUGUAAAAUCCUUUCGUCAGGGACGAUAAUGACGGUACCUGAAGAAGAAGCCCCGGCUAACUUCGUGCCAGCAGCCGCGGUAAUACGAAGGGGGCUAGCGUUGUUCGGAAUUACUGGGCGUAAAGCGCAUGUAGGCGGGUCGUUAAGUCGGGGGUGAAAGCCCAGAGCUCAACUCUGGAACUGCCUUCGAUACUGGCGACCUGGACCCAAGGAGAGGCGAGUGGAAUUGCGAGUGUAGAGGUGAAAUUCGUAGAUAUUCGCAGGAACACCAGUGGCGAAGGCGACUCGCUGGACUUGUGGUGACGCUGAGAUGCGAAAGCGUGGGGAGCAAACAGGAUUAGAUACCCCCGUAGUCCCUGAGCGGGCUGGCAAGGCGCAU
RNAcentral lists this ribosomal RNA (447 nucleotides) under uncultured bacterium. Its description in RNAcentral is "bacterial SSU rRNA". It matches the Rfam family "Bacterial small subunit ribosomal RNA", at positions 355 to 825 of the family's 1533-position model. The record is from RNAcentral.